RNAcentral lists this transfer RNA (85 nucleotides) under Felis catus (domestic cat). It matches the Rfam family "tRNA". Rfam says of the family: Transfer RNA (tRNA) molecules are approximately 80 nucleotides in length. Their secondary structure includes four short double-helical elements and three loops (D, anti-codon, and T loops). RNAcentral also lists the same sequence under 1 other name. Lineage: Eukaryota; Metazoa; Chordata; Mammalia; Carnivora; Felidae. The record is from Rfam by way of RNAcentral.
GCCUGGGUGGCUCAGUUGGUUAAGCAUCUGACUUCAGCUCAGAUCAUGAUCUCACGGUUCAUGAGUUCAAGCCCCACAUCAGGCU